This is a non-coding RNA of Mogibacterium sp. CM50, 206 nucleotides long. NCBI's taxonomy places the organism in Bacteria, Bacillati, Bacillota, Clostridia, Peptostreptococcales, Anaerovoracaceae. The record is from Rfam.
GAGAACUGACAAUCUGAUAGGUAGAAUGACGGGGUAACGCCCUGAAAUGCCUACACUGAUACUCCGAUUGGCAAUGAAUAUUAGACUAUUUCAUUGUCAAAAGCUCGGUGAAGUCGGCAGAGAGUAGCCGUAAGACUGAUAUUAACAUCAGACACGAAAGCUGUCCAGAGGUGGACGGUGCUGCCUAUAUGUCGGGUGUCGAAUAC